AGAGACAGCUGUUUGUCCCCCAGUAUCCUUCAGACAAAGCCAUAUAUGAUUGAAGGUUAUCAGUACUGUGCUUUUGGAGGAUUCAGAAGAAGUUAUAUCUGAUUGGGAGAUUGAAAAGGAUUGGCCUGAAGGAGAGGUGGUUUUUGAACUGCAUCUUAAAGGAUGAGGAAACUGAGGCUGAGAGGGUAGAGAACUUUGCCUGAGGUCACUCAGCAGGGACCCACCCAUCACAGUAAAUGCCAGCACUGCUGAUGCCAAAACAAUGUUAUUUGUAGGCCCUCGGAAUUUGUGACCUGAAGGAAGAAGAGCAGGGCCGUGGGAAGUAUGUAACCAGUGUCAUGCCCCUGGUCCCAAGGAAGCAGUGGCUUGGCCUGAACACCCUGUCCUACCUGGUCCUACCUGGAUGCUGGCCUCAGUAAGCUCCUGGGCUCAUUGAAGAUGAACCUAGCAGUAGUAUUUACACCACUUGUUGUGUGCCCACUGUGGGCCCGGCGCCAUGCCGAGUGCUCUAUGGAUGUGAGAGAAACGGAGGCCCAGAAAGCAGAAAUGAUGUGUUAAGAUCACUCAUCAAGCUGAUGGUACAGAGAUGAGAACACUGAAGCAGUUUUUUCUAAAGAUAGCUGCCUGGCACAGUGGCUCACAUCUGUAGUCCCAGCAUUUGGGGAGGCCAAGGCAGGUGGAUCACUUGAGGCCAGGAAUUCAAGACCAGCAUGGCCAACAUGUGCUGGGAGAGAAAAGCAUACGACAUAGACAGGGAGGUCAAGCUCCACCACGCAGAUGAGGUGCAGGCCACCAGUCUUCCUCUGCCACAUCUCUUUCUGAAAAGGACUUCACAUUCACCCUUGCAAUCCAUGUGGGGACACUGUUGGAUAGGAGGCGUGGUCCCAGCGUGGUCUCCCUGUCUGGGCCUCUGCCUAUGCCAAAUGUUUGCCUUACGCUGCACACUCAAGAGGUUCCAUGUAUACAGAUGGGAAUUCCAGAGCUACAGAAAAGGCAGCAAGCACCAUGAUUUAAGCUAACCAGUGUGGAUUCACACCUUCCUCUCUCUCUAUCAGUGGCAGAACUACCAGCUAGAGUAAGAAGUGGUUGAUCCAGGACCUAAACAUUCUGGAAACUCUUGCCCACUUCUGGGAGAAAUGACCCAAUCCAUAGUACUAAGCACACCUUAACUUUCGUAGGACGCAGGCAAGUUGUCAUACCGUGUGCCUAAAUAUAGAAAAAUGAUCCACUGGACUAAUAAAGUGUUAAAUAAAAUAUGUCCUGACUGUC
This 1269-nucleotide long non-coding RNA is filed under the name Homo sapiens (human). RNAcentral describes it as "long intergenic non-protein coding RNA 2395". The record is from RNAcentral. Lineage: Eukaryota; Metazoa; Chordata; Mammalia; Primates; Hominidae.